This 76-nucleotide transfer RNA is filed under the name Clostridiales bacterium. RNAcentral describes it as "tRNA-Arg". It matches the Rfam family "tRNA". Rfam says of the family: Transfer RNA (tRNA) molecules are approximately 80 nucleotides in length. Their secondary structure includes four short double-helical elements and three loops (D, anti-codon, and T loops). Lineage: Bacteria; Bacillati; Bacillota; Clostridia; Eubacteriales. RNAcentral also lists the same sequence under 1 other name. The record is from RNAcentral.
GCGCCUGUAGCUCAGAGGAUAGAGUAUCCGGCUACGAACCGGCAGGUCAUAGGUUCGAAUCCUAUCAGGCGCGCCA